Molecule: long non-coding RNA, 2762 nt
Filed under: Setaria italica (foxtail millet)
Lineage: Eukaryota; Viridiplantae; Streptophyta; Magnoliopsida; Poales; Poaceae
Description: long non-coding RNA (SITA_LNC001758)
Source: RNAcentral
CCGGCCCCGCCCGCCCCCGUCGCCUCCGCGCCAACCCCCGCCUCCUCCAGCCGGAUCCGGCGGUUGCUGCUGCUGUUGCCAGUGGCGGCGCUCUUGACGGCGGAGAAGAAUCCGCCUCCACCUCCACCGGGAACGUCGUGCGGGCGGCGCUUCUUGUUCUUGGCAUCGCCGUCGUCCCGCUGGACGGACGUGCACAGCGCCCUCCGCCGCCGCCGCCGCCGCCGGCCGGCCCCGCCCGCCCCCGUCGCCUCCGCGCCAACCCCCGCCUCCUCCAGCCGGAUCCGGCGGUGGCCAUGCCGGCACUGGCCAUGGCGCCGGCGCCCUUCUGCGACCCGGGGAGCGCCUCGGCUCAUGCCCUGCCCUGCCGCCGCGUUCCGCCGCCUCCUCGACGCGCUGGCCGGCGCCGCUGCUGCCGGCGCUUGCGCCCCGCGAUCGCCCGAGAAGCCCCUGCUGAACACCGGCUGAGAGGGAAAUGGUAGGAGGGGCAGCACAGCAGGGGCAUAAGGGACAUUUUACAGAAGAGGUGCUAAACUUUAGCCCUCUUCCCAAACACCCAAUGUGCUAAAGUUUAGCCCUUUCAUUUGAGAGGGCUAAAGUUUUAGCCAGGGCUAAAUUUUAGCCCCUUCCUCCCAAACAGGGCUUUAAUUUAUUUGCACUAGUGGAUCCGAUGAUAACGAAGUGCGUGUGGUGAUAAACGGAAAGCAAACGAUAGGGGGAGGAAGAAACGUGGAGAAUCGGUUUUAUUUGCAUGAACUUUGCACGAAAAAUCUUAAGCAGCAUGCAUGUUGGCAAUUCGCAUCUUCUUUUCCCCCGGCCCUUUUCUUGGUGGGCUAGCUAGCUACUGAUGAUCAUCAUCUAUUCCCUUUCGCUCAUUUGGCAUCCCGCAACUCAUUGCAUAUAUGCCCCUGAAAUUCGCUAUCUCUCUCUCUCUCUCUCUCUCUUUCAGAACAUGCAUGUAUAUGUAGACCAUACACGACCUACAAUUUUGAAGUAGUAUAAAGAGAGAUUUUGAACGAAUCAGGGAAAAAAUUAAACAUAAAGGACGACUCAACAUGAAGUAGUAUAUAUUGUAAAUUAAAGAGUGGUCACUGAAUAUACUAUGAAACAAGUGCCUUUUGAACCUAAUAUUAAUUAUUCACUAGCAUGCAUGUUUAAUAUGUGCAGUAUAUAUAAUUUAGUAAUUUGUCCAGAGAAAGAGGUAAGUGGUGGUAGCUAGUGGGGGGCCGGCUAGCUCUUUCUUUCCCUUUGCCAGUUAGGGUAAAAGAUGCAAAGCCCAGACAGGUUGCAUUUACGAGGAUUGAAUAUGCCUGCACCCUUCUCUCCUCUCCAUCAUGGUCAUCGUCUUCCUUGGAUCGACGAUACCAUCUCUUCUCUGUGUCCUUUCUCCUUUGUCAAAAUAUAUGCCAAACUUAUUCCUCAGACACGCACUGUCAUACGUACACUAGUAUAUACGCAUACAGUAUAUAGCACAGAUCGAUAUGAUGAUGCUUAAUUUAUUGCCUGCACGUUAAGUUUCUGAUCGAUGGGAUGUACGAUACUAGCUCUAAGACAAAAGUAAAUUACCUAUCUAGUGCCACGCGGAUGAUCAUUUCAUGUAUUUAUUAUAUACAACAUAAUCAUUCUAUGUGUGGUGGAACCGUGGAGAAGAGUAGUAGAAUCAAAGUGCAUACUUCAUACAAGUGUCCAGUUAGUUAGCAAGCUUUCUACAGUCAUGAUAUGGAGUGGUAGAUUGGUUGUAGUGAAUUGCAUGCCCAUUUUUACCUAUACAUCAACUUUGUUUUUCUUUUGAUCAAGUGCAUAUAACUAAAUUGGUGAUCAAUGCAAGUACAGUAAUUACCAGCUGGAGGCGGAGUUACCUGUACUGUAGGUAGCCAGGUAGGUAUGAAUAGCUAGCGGUGCGCAUGAUGUGGAGAUGACAGAAUUGAGCAGGCAAGCGGCGACAAGAGGGUAAGUUGUGUGGUGUGGGAGGGAGAAGCUAGCUGUUGGCUCCCCCGGCCGUCUACUAGUUGAUACGAGUACACAAGACUCUGCACGCCUCAAUUCAUGUCUGGCUGCCACUUUUUUCUGUACAUGCAUGCUAGCUGUAUCAAACAAGCCAAACCGGAAUGCAGGGUUUCAGCUGCAGACUCGACUGUACGUAUAGUAACCGAUUAAUUGAUGAAUACGCAGUGCUCAAAUAUCUUGUCGUUUCGUCUUUAGUUUGCUUUUGCUUGAUAGAUAUACAUCGCCCCCUAGCUCGCUCUAUAUGUCCUUUAAUUCUCUCUGUACGUUUAUUCUUCUUGAAACCCUUGUUGUGCUUGGAAUGAAUGUGUUCUUCUAGAACACAUGCGCCCCAGGCCCCACAAAGUAGAAAACUACGGAUGAUACUCGGCGAGAAUUCUCAUAGAUCACGAGGCGAAUGUACAAAUUGAACCUAACUCAGCUGUUAAGCUUUGUUGCGGUAGAUGCUAUCCACCCGAAUUUGAAUCAAUCGACUCGGCAAGAACACUCACAUUUUGUUUGAUUGUUAUAAGAUUUAAUCGGUGCUAUUCUAUCAGUGGAGGUGACAUGCCUAUUAGCAGGACACCUAUGGUUAUUUCGUCAAUCUUUAAUACUGAUUUGAUCUCUCGGAUGUGCUCGUGCGCUACGUGUGUAUUUAUAAGAAUAAGUGUGCGUACAUGUAUGUGUCCAAUCUAGCCCAUGUACGCGGCCCAAGAUAUGUGGCCUAGUCCAGCUUCACAAAAUCGUUCGCCCUGUUUACUACACUCAUUCUUGUUGGGCCC